AUGAACGCUGGCGGCGUGCCUAAUACAUGCAAGUCGAACGGACGAGAUAGCGAUAUUUUGUUAGUGGCGAACGGGUGAGUAACACAUGGGUGACCUGCCCCGAAGUGGGGGAUAGCAGUUCGAAAGGACUGAUAAUACCGCGUAAGCUUAUGGUAGUUAGAGCGUCAUAAGUAAAGGUGAGAAUCGCUUCGGGAGGGGCCCGUGACCCAUCAGCUAGUUGGUAAGGUAACGGCUUACCAAGGCGAAGACGGGUAGGGGGCCUGAGAGGGUGGCCCCCCACAAUGGAACUGAAUCACGGUCCAUACACCUACGGGUGGCAGCAGUAGGGAAUAUUGCCCAAUGGACGAAAGUCUGAGGCAGCAACGCCGCGUGCACGAUGAAGGCCUUCGGGUUGUAAAGUGCUUUUGGCGGGGAAGAGGAAGGACAGUACCCGCAGAAUAAGCUUCGGCUAACUACGU
Molecule: ribosomal RNA, 458 nt
Filed under: uncultured bacterium
Lineage: Bacteria
Description: bacterial SSU rRNA
Rfam family: Bacterial small subunit ribosomal RNA
Source: RNAcentral